Long non-coding RNA from Cyprinus carpio (common carp), 840 nucleotides. The record is from Ensembl. Lineage: Eukaryota; Metazoa; Chordata; Actinopteri; Cypriniformes; Cyprinidae.
ACUGGAUAUGGCCACAGAGGUGUGAGCAUGCAUUGGUAAUGCUGAGAAAUGGAUGGGGGGAAUGUAUGUCAGUGUGGCACAGGCAGUAAGAGGAUUAUGGGAUGGCAGCCGAAGCAUGGAGUGGAGAGGAAGAUUGAAAGUGUGCUGUGCAUGAGUCAGUGAGAGUUGUACAACAUCUCUCCCCAUGCAGCGGUCUGUUUACAUGGCACUGAGGGAGGGUGUGUGUGUGUAUGCAGAAGGAGAGAGAUGGUAAAAUGGUUUUGGUUUCUCAAAAACUGCAAGAGUGACUUAAAAAAAAUAUCUUAGGUUUUUUUGUUUUGUUUUGUUAAUAGUGUUGUUUUGGACCCCACUGACUGAUAUGGACAAAAACAUAUGAAAAAAAUAUAUUUUUUUGUGUUCUGCAGAAGAAAGAAACAUCAGCUUGGCCCAACUGAAAGACAAUCUGACAACCAGACUGGUUUAAGUGGCUUUUUGCAGCAGGGAAAAGAACAAUUUAACAAAAUAUUAAAUUCCAGCAACCCCUGGGAGUUUGGACCCUGGCACAGGCUCAUGGAGAUGCUGGUUGAGGGGGCUUGGCAGAACAGCAAGGUCAGCAGAUCUGUCGUGCCGCAGUGGCUCGGAGGACUCAGCCCAUUCCCACCUCUGGCCAGUAAUCCGCCCCAGCAUCCGCCACAGUCCAACCAGACACAUCCGCAGCUGUGCCAAACUAUUCUAACAUAUCCAGCAAGUGAGAAAUGCAAUGCAUUCAGUUUUAAUGCAUUCAGUUUUAAUGCAUUAAGUUCCUCUUUUAAGGAAUGAAAGCAAAAUAAAAUAUAGCAAAGAUGUUUUAUUGAUGUCUUC